Triticum dicoccoides is the source of this 1677-nucleotide long non-coding RNA. RefSeq lists it as uncharacterized. The record is from RefSeq and is a predicted model, not a curated record. The transcript is spliced from 7 exons. Lineage: Eukaryota; Viridiplantae; Streptophyta; Magnoliopsida; Poales; Poaceae.
UAAUGGAUCCCGGGGGGUCCUAUCCGCCGGCGCUGAAGGGGACGGCGGCCUGAAGAACGACGAGUCUCAGAGGAGGACGAGCGGCGGGUGUAGCUGGUGCUCAACCGGGAGAGCGCGCACCUGUCGCUGCAGAGGAAGAAGCAGCGCUCGCCGCCACCCUUCACCACGUCCGCCGCCUCCCCCUGGUGCCGCGAGGCGCCUCACCGGCCGGAUCCACUCGAUCUGGGCACGCCACUACCACAUCCCUCGAGGUAACUCAAGUACUCGACUGUGUGUAAACUGCCUGCACGACUCCACCACGCCCCAGUCUCACGGCGUCAGCUGCGUGAACGCGACCACCGUCGAUCCAUCCAGUUGUGGACGCGCCAGCCUUAACGCCAUCUCCUUCCACAUGCUGGCGUACUACUCGUGUGGACGCUCGCCACGAUCUGGAUGUCGCGCAGCCUCAGCAGCCUGACGCCACCCAUGAAUCAGGCCUAAUUACUUGGCCGUGAAAGGCUACAACGAUCAUGGAAUUAGUGGAUUCUCCUUGAUGAUGCGCUAUGACACAACAAUGUUACACAGUGAAUUGGUACUUUUCGUAGCAACUGGGUGGUGGAUCGAUUGAACUGAUUUGAGAGGAUUGUGCUUUGAUUUUCCGACUUCUUGCAGCUUGACUACGAGGUAGAGAUGGAUCUGCCUCUGUUGUGGGAGACAGACAAUGCCUUUUGGUGCUAUUUCCUAAAUAAGAUAUACACAUGUCUUCACUCUGCCAUUGCUGUUGCGCCCAUAACGCAAGCUCCGGUGCCGCGGCGAUGUUGGUCCGCGAAGAGGAUGCAAACACUAUAGCUCUGAACUCCAUGGCAGACAUUGCUCUCAUUCUGUUGCUAUUGUUGUGGAGCGCCGAGGACGCAUGUCCCAUGGCCGCCGGUUCUUCCAGUCAGGGGAUGCGAAAUCUGCCAGCGUCGUUUCUCUCUGUGCGCCGGUAAUGUUUGCAGCAAUAAAACUGCAACCUUCAUUGCAGGACAAGUUCUACCUGAAUCUCAUGGUUUGUCUUCACAUAAUGUUCUCUUAGUCGGUUUGCAGCAUGCAGCAAGUUCUAAUUGCUGCUUUUAGAGAAGCCCCAGUUGUAGGUCAUAAAUUGCUUGGAAAAAUGCAACAUCGAUGCUAGAAUCCUGACGAGACUAUGACCGGUGAUGCAGAUUAUUUUGUAUGCUGAUGGUGCCGUGGCGGCUGCAUGCCGGAGGGCUGCAUACUCGACUUCUACAUCGCCAUCUUCAACAAGGAGAAGAUCUCCCUCGCUGGCCACAACGAGGUCCGCGCCUGCACUCCCAUUCCCAUUCUUUCUCCCUCUCCAGGAAUUGGGGUUUCUAUUGCUUUUUUUUGUUUGGUGUGUGCCACUGGAGUAUAUGUGUUGUUUGUGCCACCCUUGUGGUGUUUGGGCUUGUUGUGCUGUGCCCACAGCAGACUCUGUGGUGUAUGUGUUGUUCGUGAGUUUGUGUUGGACCUUGUUGCGGUGGCGUUGUGUGUGUGUGUGUGUGUUGGAUGAACCUUGUAUAUGGUGGCGGGCGGGCGGAACUUCUUGCCACUACUCCUGGAGACGUCAAAGGGCGUCAAGCCCUCUGCAGUGAUCGGAUGGGACUACCAGGUUUACACGAAGAGGGAGAAUGCCGGCAGCUGGAAUUCUGGGCUGCAAAA